Carassius gibelio (silver crucian carp) is the source of this 3781-nucleotide long non-coding RNA. RefSeq lists it as uncharacterized. NCBI's taxonomy places the organism in Eukaryota, Metazoa, Chordata, Actinopteri, Cypriniformes, Cyprinidae. The transcript has 3 exons. The record is from RefSeq and is a predicted model, not a curated record.
AGUCAGCUGUCUUAACCGUGCGUGGCUUGUGUACUGAAACACAUAUGAGCUUCAUCACUGUGUCUGUCACACCACUCUGUUCCUCUCUCGAGCUUGAACUGAUGGUAGAACAUUUUUAACUGUAUUUACAUUUAUUUUGAAAGAUGAAGCUCUGGAUUAUGGAAAAGGGUGUUACAUUUCCGAUGAGUGCUUGCAGUGUUCGGCCAAUCACAAUGCACUGGGUCAGUUGGCCAAUCAGAGCAGACUGCGCUUGCCAGAAGGAGGGACUUUGUAGAAAACAAUGCGUUUGAGAGAGACGGUGCAUAGAGGACCUACAAUAAUGUACAGUAUUUGAAAAAUAAUGUUUUUUUUUUUAACAUUAAAGCAUGUCAACAUAUUCUGUUACACCAAAUAUGCAAAAAAAAAAAAAAAAAAAUCAAGGCAAUAUCAAGACCCCUUUAAAAUUCUAAUAUUAUUUCACAAAUUUUUUUUUUUUUUAAAUCAAAUGCAGUCUUGGCCAGCACUGAUACCUUACUGACCCCAGACUUUGGAACAGUAAUGUUUAUAUAUUUGGUAAAUAAAAUUAACAUUACAAUUUAGGUAUUUGACAUAAGUGUUCAGAAUGCUGUUUAUAUGCUUAGAAAUGGCCUCAAAAUGCCCCUGAAACUUGCUGUCUGCAACCCUAUCAAAAAAGAGCUGCAAUCCAUUUUUGAGAACCACUGCCCUCAAACAUUUAGCAAUGGCAUGUGCAUAAACACAAACAAACAUGUAAAUACAAUCUGACUUAUAUUCUAUUGCAUUCAAAUUCAAUCAGAGUGGAUCUGCAUGCCUGCAAGACACUGUAGAUGAAGGCUCUACAGUAUUAGGCAGAGGCCUCAGUGCUCAGGGGAAUUCCUCUGACAUCUGAUCUGCUCCAUCUAGAUGCCUGAUGGAGGGAAGGGCCAGCUGGUGGCCCUCACACACUACUGGGGAUGAACAACUACAUUGUGCAUCCAUUAAACUUAUAUAAUGAAGAGAGAAGCACAAUUAAAAACAUUAAAGAUCGUAAUUUACUAUAUAUAUAUACCCUCACAUGUCAAUUCCUAUUAAACCAGGAUAACAACAUUAGCUGAGAGAUUAUAUAUUUAGUGAUGUGGAAUAUCAAACAAAUCCCUGUUUUGGGGUUUUCAUUAGCAGUCAUGUGAGAGAAUGGAUAUGUCUGUAAUUGAGAAGGGAAAAGCUGAUCUCUGUGCUGAUACUAAAGGGAUCUGAUGUGAAGGAGAUUAAUGAAAGCCCCCAUUUGUCUGUUUCCAUACCCGCCCACUAGGUGAGUCUCCCCCCAACAGAAGCUAGGGGAGGAUUACUAGUUUAAAUCCCAGGGGCUGAAACAAUUACACUGUUUAGACUGAAAGAAACACACAAGAUGGAGGCCAUAACAGGUUUUAGAGGCUGAGGCAUGUUUAUGGUGCAGAGGCACCAUUACUAUUGCUAUUACAUCAUGUGUCCCAGCUUGCAACAAGAGAAGUGGGCUACUAUUUAAAUAUAUUAGAUCUUACAUUUUCAACUAAGGUAGAUCCAUAUCUAGUGACCAGAAUGUUAUGGAGACUUGGGAUGGUAGGGUGUGUUGUCCUGUAAGCAACCAAGCUACCAAUUACCCUGAACCACCUUAGUGACUCAAAAGACCCUACUAACUACUAGCAACAGACUAACAACCACUCAGAACUCGCUAGCACAGGGGUAUCCAAACUCGUGUCUUGGAGAGACACUAUUCUGCAUAGUUUAGCACCAAAUUACCUCGACACACCUGCCUAGAAGUUUCUAGUAUGCCUAGCAAGACCUUGAUUAGUUGGUUUAGGUGUGUUUUGGAGCUAAACUUCAAAAACUCCAGACCAGGUUUGGACACCUCUGCCCUAGCAACCCCUUAGUGACCCAAAAUACUCUACUAACUACCUAGCAACAGACUAACAACCACCUAGAACUCCCUAGCAAUGAACCAGAACACCUUAUCAGUAAAUGGCAACCAUUCAGAACACCCUAGCAAUGCCCUUGCAAUACCGUAUUAACCACCCAUAACUCAAAACAACCUCUUAUUGAUGACCCAAGAUACCCUACUAACUGCCAAAAGCCUAGCCACACGAAACUCCAUAGAAACAAACACUAUAGUAACACCCUAGCAACCGCCAAGAACACCUUAGCAAAUCUCUAGCAAGUCUAGCAAGCACAAGUAACAUUUUCUUCAUAAGUUGUAAAAAAUAUUGAAUGUUUGAGGUUAUUUAGAGAACCAUCUAUGUGCGGGAUAAGCUUCACCUUUAUCAAAAAAAAACUGCUGAACCUAAGUAGCAGAACUGUGUCGAAUAGGGAAACAUGUUCAUCCCAAACACCACAUGUUAUAGAAUACUAACAAUUAUAAAUGAUUUACUGAUAUUAUAAGCAGUUUAUCCCAUCUGAGAGGAUGUGGAUGGAUACUUAGUGAGCAUAAUCUCUGCUGUGCUGAUUUUGGACUUGGACAAAGACAUACAGCAUAACAGUCUGUCUGGAACACUGAGCAAGAGAUGAUCCAAGCUCUUUAUCUCACUAAUGUGUGAGUGUGUGUGUGUGUGUGUGUGUGUGUGUGUGUCUUUUGUGAUCCAAAAUCAGGUCAUUCACUGAUUGAUGCCUGAGGUCUUCCUAGAUCGAGAACCAGGCAGACUUUAGUGCAGCAGAAAACAGAAAGGGAAGACAGGAAGGGAGUGUUUGACUAACUAUACGGGAACACAUGCCAUAUUAUGAUAACCACCACCUGGAAACCACACUUCCUGAAAUAUGCUCAACAUCCUUUUUUCUAGAAAGCUUGCAAUAAAACCUCUCUAGCCGUAACUAGUAUUAUUAUCUUGCAUCAAAUCCUCCAGUUGAUAAUUAUGAAUGUCCAGUGUUUGUGUUUUCUGUGUUUCUCCUGAAGCCCUGUGUGAGCGGCUAAGACAAUAGAGCUCCGCCACAGCUGUGUUUACCACUUUGGCCCCAUUUCCACCUCUCGAGGCAGGCUGCUUUUAAAAAACCUUUUCGAAAAACAUACAGAGGCCCUAACGUAUGCAGAGACACUCACUAAGUGUAAGGUUGAGGCCAUCUCAGGAGAUUGUUUGUUAUUCCGGUGACUUGGCUGGCAGGAGCUCUGCGGUAGACGCUCUCACAGCUUCUGUGAUUGUACCGCUGAGGCCCACAUGAGGUUACCAGACUGUUUGUCUUGAUGAGAGGACGAGAUUUCAAAGUCUGCUUGAAAAGCAAAAAGUUCACUGUAGAGUCAACAAACACAGUCCUGCCCCAAACUCAUGCUAUUGGUCAAGCUAAAAUGUAUCAUGUUGUGCUGGUCAGGAUGUUUAAACAAACAGAAUAAUGUUUUGAUAGCGCCACAGAUGCUGUGUUACGUUUUCUGGCAUAAUUAUCUCUUAAUUUGAAUAAAUAAUUUCUGCACUUUAAAUAAUAACAUGAAACUUUAAUUUAACAUAAUAUAUAUUUUUUUUGCAGUACAGUAAUACGUUUUUUGUUUUCAUACAUACGUACAUAUGUGACGAGUGGGGCGGGGCGGGGCGGGGCCGAGGGACGUUGGAGCAGGAGCGAGGCCGGUGGAGUGAUUGGGAAAUGAGCGACACCUGCUCGACCCACCGGUCUCGAGUCCCACGGAGGAGAUGGAGGGAUAUAAAACUGGAGCGACAACGGUGACAGACGAGAGAGGACCAGGCCUGGGUUUUAGUUUGUGUUUUGGUUUUAUUUGUGCACGUCAGUCGUCCGUGAGGGGCUGACGCGCUGUUUUGUGUUUAUUUUGAUAAUUAAAGUUUAUAUUUGAUUA